This 465-nucleotide ribosomal RNA is filed under the name uncultured bacterium. Its description in RNAcentral is "bacterial SSU rRNA". It matches the Rfam family "Bacterial small subunit ribosomal RNA", at positions 15 to 507 of the family's 1533-position model. The record is from RNAcentral.
GAUCAUGGCUCAGGAUGAACGCUGGCGGCUGCCUAACACAUGCAAGCCAAGCGAUUCUCUUCGGGAGAAGAGCGGCGGACGGGUGAGUAACGCGUGGGUAACCUGCCCUGUACACACGGAUAACAUACCGAAAGGUAUGCUAAUACGAGAUAAUAUACUUUUAUCGCAUGGUAGAAGUAUCAAAGCUCCGGCGGUACAGGAUGGACCCGCGUCUGAUUAGCUAGUUGGUAAGGUAACGGCUUACCAAGGCGACGAUCAGUAGCCGACCUGAGAGGGUGAUCGGCCACAUUGGAACUGAGACACGGUCCAAACUCCUACGGGAGGCAGCAGUGGGGAAUAUUGCACAAUGGGCGAAAGCCUGAUGCAGCAACGCCGCGUGAGCGAUGAAGGCCUUCGGGUCGUAAAGCUCUGUCCUCAAGGAAGAUAAUGACGGUACUUGAGGAGGAAGCCCCGGCUAACUACGUG